CGAAACCCGUAAUCCUCCUAGGCC
RNAcentral lists this non-coding RNA (24 nucleotides) under Arabidopsis thaliana (thale cress). The record is from RNAcentral. Lineage: Eukaryota; Viridiplantae; Streptophyta; Magnoliopsida; Brassicales; Brassicaceae.